GAUGAAGAACGUAGCGAAAUGCGAUAAGUAGUGUGAAUUGCAGAAUUCAGUGAAUCAUCGAAUCUUUGAACGCACAUUGCGCCUCCUGGUAUUCCGGGAGGCAUGCCUGUUCGAGCGUCAUUAAAAUCACUCAAGCUUAGGUUUGCCUAUUGCUUGGUCUUGAAGAUGGAAGCUAAGUAAUUAGAAUCCUCUUCGAAAUCCAAUGGCGAAGACCCUUGCUCUCCCAAGUGUAGUAAUAACUUAUUCACUGAAGGAAGCGAGUAAUCUUCCGCCGUAACCCCCAUAUUUUCUAUGAUUGACCUCGGAUCAGGUAGGGAUACCCGCUGAACUUAAGCAUAUCAAUAAGCGGAAGA
RNAcentral lists this unclassified non-coding RNA (353 nucleotides) under soil metagenome. RNAcentral describes it as "partial contains 5.8S ribosomal RNA, internal transcribed spacer 2, and large subunit ribosomal RNA". The stretch from base 1 to 120 matches the Rfam family "5.8S ribosomal RNA", at positions 35 to 154 of the family's 154-position model. The record is from RNAcentral.